UAUAAAUGUGUACCUUUUUCAUUGGGUAUUGAUUACUUUAUCUUUUGUGUGCCUAUUUGUUUAACACGUGUAUAUUUUUUUUUCUAGCAAAACUAUGCGUAUGCCAAAGCAUCUAGAGUUCUAUCUCCCUCCCCUGCAAUCUCUCUCCUUCUAGUUAUGUGGAUGUAGGUAUGUUGCAUGCACAAAAUUCCUAUGUUGAAUCCACUUCUUCUUCAUCUCCUGUGCCCAGGAGUGUAGACCCGUCUCAAUUUUGCAUUGAUGAGUCCUAUUAUAAGAGAGUACAACAAAAAAAUUCUUCUGCCACAUACCAACAAAGACCUCAAAAUUCAACUGGGUAUGAGACUAAACAAAAUGGAGCAACUUAGGUUUACAUGUAAUAGGGAUUUACAAAUUCAACAACAAAGUAUAGAUGCAGGCGCUAUCUCUUUUCGAAAAUCUUUGGAUUCAACCAACCUCCAAGCUGAAGAAACCCUUCAAUUCCAGGGCAUGGCUGCAGAUCUUGGGAAAUUGAAAACUGAGCUUAAUUAGAGAGGCAGAAGAUAAUUUAGUAAAAGCACUUACAGAUGUGUUGAAUUGGAAGGAAAGUAAUAAAAAGAAGAGCGUAAAGGUCUCUUUCUCACUAUGAAAAGUUCUCCAAAUGCACCUAAGGACGUUUUCAAGUUCAGUAGGAAUAAACGAGCGAGGAAUUGGAGGAAUUGAAGUUACUUGACGGUAUUGUGACUAUUGUUAGUUAGAAAAUGUUGAAACAUCGUCUUAGAUUUCAAGCACCAAGUUCUGAAAUUUUAUUGUUCUCCAUUUCAAUUGAUCUUGGAGUUGCACUUCAUAUGUGGAAGUGGAAAUUCGAGAAGACACCAACACACCUCCAAAGAAUAAAUAAGAUAAACAAAUCAUGGAAGAUCUGCUAUAUGGAUUAGUAGCUCAAGUGUUUUAUAUGGUAUUAUUGUUGGCAGGAUUCGAAAAAGAAAGUCGUACCUGCAUGUAACGAAUAUGACAUUUUUAUUUCAUGGAUUGGCUGUGAACACAACAAAUCAUGGAAGAUGUUGCAUUGGAGGUUAAAUAGAAAGUAAGUCAGUAUUGUUGUUGGUUCUCUCUUUUUAUACAUUACUCUGGGUGAUCUUUGCUUCUUCUCAAUUUGUUCUGUUAUACGGGUUAGUAGCUCAAGUGUUAUAUAUAUAUAUGGUAUUAUUGUUAGCAGAGCUCGAAAAAGAAAGUUGUAUAUUCAUGUAACGAAUAUGGUAUUAUUGUUUCAUGGAUUUGCUGUGACAUGCAGCAAAUCAUGGAAGAUCUUGCAUCAGAGGAACAGAGGGAAAGUAAGUCAAUAUUGUUGUUGGUUCUCUCUUUCUAUACAUUAUUUUGGGUGGUCUUUGCUUCUUCUCAAUUUUUUUCUGUUAUACCGAUUAGUAGCUCAAGUUAAUAUAUAUUAAGGAAUUCACAGUUGGCAUGAAAAAAGUUCACACCUCAAGGGGCUUGAUGUAGAUAGUCUACCCAUUUUCAUAUUUGAAGUAAUUAUACAUGAAGCACCUUAUCUUAACAGGUACUUGCAGAUUAUUAACAUAUUUGGUCAUUCAUGUUUUUCCUAGCUUGCAGCAAAUGUGGAUUACUCUUUCCUUCUCUUUCUUUUGUGUUGAUAUCUCCAUUAUCCCUUUUUGCUCUCAAAUCAAUCUGUUGAUGGAAAGUACUGCACCAACUAAGCAUAUCAAAUAUUUUUUUAUAGUGUCUUAUAAGGUUCAUCAGAUAAAAUAAUAGAUGCAAUAGCAUCAGUUGCACUAGCUGAAGUUUAAUUAUUGGUAGACAUUGUUUAUGUGGGAAUUUAUCAAAAGAAGGAAUAAAAAGUUGCCUCACAUCUCCCGGCAUCUUCUGAUCUAUCCCAUCUACCCGAUCUUGGUAAUUAUAAAUCUCACUUCUUUUUAGUUAUACUUUGGUAUUUCUUUUGUUGCAUCUUUCCUAUUUUCAAAUUUUAAAUUUACAGUAAAGUAAGCAUUUGAAGUUUGUUUUGUAUUUGAGAGGCAUUGCUGCUAUCUCGCUGUCUGCAAACAGAUUCUACAAGAUAUACAUCUUGGUACAGAGAUGAUUUGUCAAUAACAUGUUGCACUUAUCAUCCAAGAACCUCAUGUGCUUCCUGAGAAAGGUUUCCUCUUUUAUUAACUUAAUGCUGCCAAUGUGUUCCCUCUGCAAAUGUGUACAGACCAAGUCUGCCUUUAAACAUCUUUUGUAUUUUGUUUGCCAGCUGUCAGUCACCAUGUUCGACCAACUCAACCCCAAGACAAUUUAAACAAAGGAAAAAGUAUACAAUCCUCUGACCAUUUCUCUAACAAGUAAGCCUGCUCUUUCCAUUACGUGUUCCGUAUGGCAUAUUGAUCGUCGCAAUAUUGUAAAUUUUCCAUUAUUACUAAUUUGACAUUGCUAAUCUAUUUUCUCUAACAACAUGUAUAAUACCCGACUUAUCUAAAUUUGCCUACUUACAUUUUAACUUCAACCUUUAAACAUAAGAGAACUGCUUAAUUUGUAUCUAAAAUCUUUUGAUUUUGUCAUCUUGAUAUAAAUAUGCAAUUUAUGUAAAUAGUGAAGUUGAUAUCUUAAUAGGAGC
Solanum stenotomum is the source of this 2587-nucleotide long non-coding RNA. RefSeq lists it as uncharacterized. The transcript is spliced from 7 exons. NCBI's taxonomy places the organism in Eukaryota, Viridiplantae, Streptophyta, Magnoliopsida, Solanales, Solanaceae. The record is from RefSeq and is a predicted model, not a curated record.